RNAcentral lists this long non-coding RNA (975 nucleotides) under Gossypium barbadense (sea-island cotton). Its description in RNAcentral is "long non-coding RNA (GBAR_LNC010265)". The record is from RNAcentral. Lineage: Eukaryota; Viridiplantae; Streptophyta; Magnoliopsida; Malvales; Malvaceae.
UGAUGCAAUAGGAUCAAUAUUGUAAGUGGACCAAUCUGCAUGGGCAUAAAUUAUACAAAAAUAAAAUAAAAUAACAAACAAAAUAAGGUCCAAAGUCCAACAUAAACACAGCCCGAUUGGCCUGUUUUUUACAGACCAAACCUUACCCAAAUACAAGCCCAAAAUGAUUUAAAACUUAGGCCCGAAUGGCCCAAAAAACAAAUAAAUUUUCAGCAUGGGUAACCUUAGCUUUCGACUGCCGCAAGCCACUUCCACAACGUCCUCCACACGCGCCACCCUCCAACUGUACCUACAAAAUAGAAUAACAAAUUUGACAGCCAAAUAACAGCAAGAAAAAUAACAGUAACAAAUAGAGCAGAAAAUCAGAAAUUUGUAAUUUUUAUUUUUAUUAUGGAUAUAUAAAACCGAUUGUAAACAGUGUAAGGGGAUCUUUUCACAGAAAUAUAAUACAGAUACCCACGUAGAUUUUAUAAAAAAAAAGUUUCGAUAAGGUGAUUUCCAGGGAUUUUGCUAUUUUGAUCUAGUUUUAAUUUUUCUUUUCUUUCGUUUUUUUAGAUCCAAAAAUAAAAGAAAAGAAAAGGGAAAGGAGCAUACCCGAACCUAUCUUGGAACAAGGUCGAACGGCUCAUUCUCGUGAGUUGCUAGCUACCAAGUAUGGUGGUGGUCCAGUGGUGCGACGGAGGUUUCUCGAGGAGAAGAAAAGGGAAAGGAAUAAACCCUUUAAGCUUUUAGGGUUAAUUGUGAAAAGGGGGAAAUCUUUGGUUUUUAUUAUUAUUAUUUUUGUUUACUAUAGCAAUAGCAGAAAUGUAUCUUUAAUAAAAUUUUGGUGCUGGAUCCGCGCAUUUUCGCCUUAAAUAGGUAAUUUGCGUGAUCAGUCCCUCCCUUUUGCGCUGCUAUUUGAUUAGGCCCCUGUUCAUUCCCUUUUACUUUUUAAUUUUGCCCAGGAAUUUUGUGUCAGUUUCAUUUUAAUCCGUG